CCUACGGGUGGCAGCAGUGGGGAAUAUUGCACAAUGGGGGAAACCCUGAUGCAGCGACGCCGCGUGAGUGAAGAAGUAUCUCGGUACGUAAAGCCCUUUCAGCAGGAAAGAAAAUGACGGUACCUGACUAAGAAGCCCCGUCUAAAUACGUGCCACCAGCCGCGGGAAUACGUAGGGGGCAAGCGUUAUCCGGAUUAUUUGGGUGUAAGGGGAGCGUAGAAGGCGCUGCAAGUCCGGAGUGAAAGCCCAUGGCUUAACCAUGGUACUGCUCUGGAAACUGGAGGGCUUGAGUGCGGGAGGGGCAGGCGGAAUGCCUAGUGUAGCGGUGAAAUGCGUAGAUAUUAGGAGGAACACCGGCGGCGAAGGCAGCCUGCUGGACCGUAACUGACGUUGAGGCUCGAAAGCGUGGGGAGCAAACAGGAUUAGAUACCCCAGUAGUC
Molecule: ribosomal RNA, 440 nt
Filed under: uncultured bacterium
Lineage: Bacteria
Description: partial 16S ribosomal RNA
Rfam family: Bacterial small subunit ribosomal RNA
Source: RNAcentral